This 471-nucleotide ribosomal RNA is filed under the name uncultured Rhodocyclaceae bacterium. Its description in RNAcentral is "bacterial SSU rRNA". It matches the Rfam family "Bacterial small subunit ribosomal RNA", at positions 908 to 1382 of the family's 1533-position model. The record is from RNAcentral. Lineage: Bacteria; Pseudomonadati; Pseudomonadota; Betaproteobacteria; Rhodocyclales; Rhodocyclaceae.
AAAUUGACGGGACCGCACAAGCGGUGGAUGAUGUGGAUUAAUCGAUGCAACGCGAAAACCUUACUACCCUUGACAUGUCCGGAAUCCCGAAGAGAUUUGGGAGUGCUCGCAAGAGAACCGGAACACAGGUGCUGCAUGGCUGUCGUCAGCUCGUGUCGUGAGAUGUUGGGUUAAGUCCCGCAACGAGCGCAACCCUUGUCAUUAGUUGCCAUCAUUUGGUUGGGCACUCUAAUGAGACUGCCGGUGACAAACCGGAGGAAGGUGGGGAUGACGUCAAGUCCUCAUGGCCCUUAUGGGUAGGGCUUCACACGUCAUACAAUGGUCGGUACAGAGGGUUGCCAACCCGCGAGGGGGAGCUAAUCCCACAAAGCCGAUCGUAGUCCGGAUCGCAGUCUGCAACUCGACUGCGUGAAGUCGGAAUCGCUAGUAAUCGUGGAUCAGCAUGUCACGGUGAAUACGUUCCCGGGGCUU